UCUCUUUCUCCGCGGGCAGCGGCGGCGGCGCAAGGAGCCUGCCCCGAGCUGCCCCGGACCCGCGCGGCUGCUCCGAGCGCUUACUCCAUCCCCUCGCCCGACUUCCAAACGUGAAGAGAUCAAGAUGAGCAAAGUGCUGAGUAAGGCACCAGUGACUGAGAUGCCAAAAACUUAAAACAGAAGCCUUGCUCUAGUGGGUGAGUAUACUGAGAGGUCUGUAGAGAUGAUGAGGUUCAGUUCAUGCAGAAUGUGUUACCCAGAUGUAGCCACAGAGAAAAGCGAGCUGGGAGCAGAAGAUGCUGUAAAUUGGUGGCACAUUAUUAUGUGCUCACACUGGGGGCUGCCUCAUGGCAGAGGGAAAGGCUACUGCCUGGUGGGUUGUGGGUUGCUGGAGGCUGUGGGGCAGGGCCUGGGAAUGAGGCUGCAGGAGUGAGCAGUGUAUGGGGAAAGCAGGGCCAGGGGGUUGUGGGGUCUGGAUGCACACAGGGGAUGGAGGGUCAGAAUCAGGAGUCUGGGUGCCCACCAGGAAGGGUUGGGGUGCUCUCAAAGGGUGAGAGAAAUGAGGAAAACACGUGCUCUGGUGUGGAUUCAUCAACUGGCCUGUGGAUCACCAACCCCAUGGGGUUUGACUGCAGCAUGGCAAGGACAUCCAUGGGAAAAAAUACUAGAGAGGAUUGGCUUGUGGGAUGUAGGGAGGAGUAGUGACCUGUGCAUCUGCAACUUGAUAUGGGGCCUCUCAAGGAUUGAUUAAUGGAUUGUAAAGUUGUAUCUGACUGCAGUAAGAAA
Molecule: long non-coding RNA, 786 nt
Organism: Colius striatus (speckled mousebird)
Lineage: Eukaryota; Metazoa; Chordata; Aves; Coliiformes; Coliidae
Exons: 4
Source: RefSeq, a predicted model, not a curated record